RNAcentral lists this ribosomal RNA (283 nucleotides) under uncultured marine eukaryote. Its description in RNAcentral is "partial 18S ribosomal RNA". It matches the Rfam family "Eukaryotic small subunit ribosomal RNA", at positions 619 to 909 of the family's 1831-position model. The record is from RNAcentral.
UUAAAAAGCUCGUAGUUGGAUUCCUGUAUGGAAGGGGCGUCCCCACCCUUUGGAUGGGGGUUGCUGCCUUCUUUGCAUCUUCCGGAGUAGAUGUUCCUCACUUAACUGUGAGGACAUUAUGCUCGGGUCAUUUACUUUGAGGAAAAGAGAGUGCUCCAAGCAGGCAAACGCCUGAAUACGUUAGCAUGGAAUAAUAGCAUCGGAUCAUCGUUCAGCUGUUGGUGUCUGGACGAGGAUAAAGGUGAACAGGGAUUGUUGGGGGCAUUCGUAUUUAACUGUCAGA